ACGAUGUGUGGAGGAUGCUUGGAGGCACGUGAAGAGCAGUGUUGGCGCCAGCCCGGCGCAAUACGUGCUCGGCACAUUCGUGGACUUCAAAGGAGCAUUCGACAACGUCGAAUGGAGUGCUGCACUCAGCCGACUAGCCGACUUGGGAUGCCGGGAAAUGGGCUUGUGGCAGAGCUUUUUCUCCGGCCGAAGAGCAGUGAUCCGAAGCAGUUCCGGUACUGUGGAGGUACCGGUAACUAGAGGCUGCCCGCAGGGAUCAAUCAGCGGCCCAUUUAUCUGGGACAUACUGAUGGAUGUACUGCUUCAGCGUCUCCAGCCGUAUUGCCAGCUGAGUGCAUACGCGGAUGACUUGCUGCUUCUCGUCGAGGGAAAUUCCCGAGCUGUGCUAGAGGAAAAAGGAGCGCAACUAAUGUCCAUCGUAGAAACGUGGGGAGCGGAAGUUGGCGUUGCCGUCUCGACCAGCAAGACGGUAAUCAUGCUGCUGAAAGGUGCCUUGAGACGUGCGCCUACGGUGAGGUUUGCUGGAGCGAACCUUCCGUAUGUGCGUAGCUGUCGGUACCUUGGCAUCACGGUCAGUGAAGGAAUGAAAUUCCUCACGCACAUAGCUUCGCUUCGCCAGCGGAUGACAGGAGUCGUUGGAGCAUUGGCGCGUGUGCUUCGAGCCGACUGGGGCUUCAGUCCUCGAGCCAGGCGGACCAUAUAUGACGGACUCAUGGCACCUUGUGUGCUGUUUGGUGCCCCGGUAUGGUAUGACACCGCGGAACAAGUAGCUGCCCAGAGGCGACUAGCCUCCUGCCAGAGGCUAAUCCUGCUUGGAUGCCUUUCGGUAUGCCGAACAGUAUCCACAGUGGCACUGCAGGUACUUGGUGGAGCUCCCCCGCUUGAUCUGGCUGCUAAGUUAUUAGCGAUCAAAUACAAGCUAAAACGUGGAUUCCCGCUGGAGGAGAACGACUGGCUUUACGGCGAGGACAUUGCGUGUCUUAGCUGGGAGCAGAGGAAGACUCGCCUAGAGGAGUGUUUAAUCCAGAGUUGGCAGAACAGAUGGGACGAUGACAGCGAACCAGGACGGGUGACGCAUAGGUUUAUCCCAUACGUCACUCUUGCCUAUCGGGAUCCAAGUUUUGGAUUCUCGAUGAGGACGUCUUUCCUGCUUACAGGGCACGGGUCGUUCAAUGCAUUUUUGCACGGGAGAGCCCUCAGCGAUACCACUGCUUGCGCAUGUGGAGAUCCAUAUGAGGACUGGAUGCAUAUCUUGUGCGCUUGCCCCCUAUAUGCAGAUCUGCGGGACCUAGAUGGACUUGGAGUGCAGCGCCUUGGCGAAAACUGGAUCUUCGAGGGAAUCCUGGAUGAUCAAGAGAAGACUCAACGGCUGGCAAUGUUUGCGGAAGAAGUGUUCCUGAGGAGGAGGGGCGUUUAGCUCAACAUCUCUGCCGUGUGGUUAGCGGGCGAGAAUACUACCACAGUCCGCUGUUGCUUGUCGUAAGAGACGACUAAUACAGCGAUAGGAUUCCUCUAACCCUGCUUGUCGGAGCAAAAGGGGGAGGCCCACCGAGCCUCUUUUCGGUACCACGGGUUGAGCAGCUAUCCAAGACUGCUCAUUGAGGUAGGCCCCCUGGUGGGAGUAUCGUGGUGGCUGUGGUUGGUACCCAUAUCGCGGGUAGAGCCUUCAUGCUCGACGUUUGAGUUACGGUGCUAGUUGCGCAAAACUCGGGUGCUGUGACCCAGAGAUCAGUAGAGAUUUUAGGUAGAUCUCGCUCCUCAGCAAGGGGGAGUGCUUGCCCGGCAAGCAAGUACUCGAAUUGCUACCGGGGUGGUCGCUAUGUACAUAGCUAUAGCUUCUAGUCCGGGACGCUUGUCUGGCGUAUCCAGACACAUGCACCAUAUGCUCACUUGUGGGUGUAUAGGGUGCCGUGGUUGUAAUCCCUUCAGUGUGGAACACGCCACGUAAAAUAAGUUCGGAGGGAUCCGAAAAGCAUACAUUGUCCCUAUCUACUAUCUAGCGAAACCACAGCCAAGGGAACGGGCUUGGAAUAAUUAGCGGGGAAAGAAGACCCUUUUGAGCUUGACUCUAAUCUGGCAGUGUAAGGAGACAUAAGAGGUGUAGAAUAAGUGGGAGAUAUUAGACCUCGGUUUGGUAUCGUCAAUGAAAUACCACUACUCUUAUUGUUUCCUUACUUACUUGAUUAAAUGGAACGUGUAUCAUUUCCUAGCCAUUAUACGGAUAUAUUUAUUAUAUCUUAUGGUAUUGGGUUUUGAUGCAAGCUUCUUGAUCAAAGUAUCACGAGUUUGUUAUAUAAUCGCAAACAAAUUCUUUAAUAAAACGAUGCAUUUAUGUAUUUUUGAUUUGAAAAUUUGGUAUAACUCCAAUUACUCAGGUAUGAUCCAAUUCAAGGACAUUGCCAGGUAGGGAGUUUGACUGGGGCGGUACAUCUCUCAAAUAAUAACGGAGGUGUCCCAAGGCCAGCUCAGUGCGGACAGAAACCACACAUAGAGCAAAAGGGCAAAUGCUGACUUGAUCUCGGUGUUCAGUACACACAGGGACAGCAAAAGCUCGGCCUAUCGAUCCUUUUGGUUUAAAGAGUUUUUAACAAGAGGUGUCAGAAAAGUUACCAUAGGGAUAACUGGCUUGUGGCGGCCAAGCGUUCAUAGCGACGUCGCUUUUUGAUCCUUCGAUGUCGGCUCUUCCUAUCAUUGUGAAGCAAAAUUCACCAAGCGUUGGAUUGUUCACCCAUGCAAGGGAACGUGAGCUGGGUUUAGACCGUCGUGAGACAGGUUAGUUUUACCCUACUAAUGACAAAACGUUGUUGCGACAGCAUUCCUGCGUAGUACGAGAGGAACCGCAGGUACGGACCAAUGGCACAAUACUUGUUCGAGCGAACAGUGGUAUGACGCUACGUCCGUUGGAUUAUGCCUGAACGCCUCUAAGGUCGUAUCCGUGCUGGACUGCAAUGAUAAAUAAGGGGCAAUUUGCAUUGU
RNAcentral lists this ribosomal RNA (2976 nucleotides) under Drosophila melanogaster (fruit fly). Its description in RNAcentral is "eukaryotic LSU rRNA". The stretch from base 1946 to 2976 matches the Rfam family "Eukaryotic large subunit ribosomal RNA", at positions 1891 to 3185 of the family's 3401-position model. Lineage: Eukaryota; Metazoa; Arthropoda; Insecta; Diptera; Drosophilidae. The record is from RNAcentral.